This 477-nucleotide long non-coding RNA is filed under the name Elaeis guineensis (African oil palm). Its description in RNAcentral is "long non-coding RNA (EGUI_LNC067497)". Lineage: Eukaryota; Viridiplantae; Streptophyta; Magnoliopsida; Arecales; Arecaceae. The record is from RNAcentral.
AAAAGAUCUUGUGGUUGCACAACAAAUCUUUUAUAAGUUUAAAGGUAGGAAACUCUUUUCAAUUGCAUCUCAUGCAAUUCUCAAUAAAAACCCUGGCCUCUAAAACAUUAAUAGCCUUGUGUUUACACAACAGACCAUAAUGUUUUAGUUAAGUAGGACUCUUCAUUUUAAUACAGUCAAAAUAGAAUAUAAAUACUUUUGUGGUUACACAGCAAAGCAUUAUACUCAAAAAUUGCUGUAAGCAUCUCGAUGCGUCUGAACAAUAUUAUGUCAAUUUCCAUAAUUGGUCUUGUGGUUACACAACAAACCUAAUAUGGUUCGUGACAUAAUAAUGUCCUAGCAUGAAGGAAGGCCAUAAUGUAGUGAAUAUAACACCGAGCAUCCCAGCCAAGAAUUAAAUUAAUCUAAUCAGCCAGGUAAGUGGGAGAGAGGUGGGGGUCUCCCUGUUGCUUUCCUUAGACACCAAUAAAUUUGGCC